UGAACCAGUACCGUGAGGGAAAGGUGAAAAGAACCCCGGGAGGGGAGUGAAAGAGAACCUGAAACCCUGUGUCUACAAGCUGCGGAAGCACGACUAACGUGCAACCGUGUACUUUUUGUAGAACGGUCCGGCGAGUUGCCGUUGCUGGCAGGUUAAGUACUUAAGGUACGGAGCCGAAGGGAAACCAAGUCUUAACAGGGCGAUAAGUCAGUAACGGCAGACCCGAAACCGGGUGACCUACCCAUGGCCAGGAUGAAGUCUGCGUAAAAGUGGAUGGAGGUCCGAACACACGUCUGUUGAAAAAGGCGGUGAUGAGCUGUGGGUAGCGGAGAAAUUCCAAUCGAACUCGGAGAUAGCUGGUUCUCCCCGAAAUAGCUUUAGGGCUAGCCUCGGUAUAGUCUAAUGGAGGUAGAGCACUGAAUCGCUGCGGGGGCGUCAAAGUCUACCAAAGCGUAUCAAACUCCGAAUGCCAUAUAGAUGUUUACCGGGAGUCAGACUGUAUGAGAUAAGUCGGACAGUCAAGAGGGAAACAGCCCAGACCAUCUGCUAAGGUCCCAAAGUGUAUGUUAAGUGGUAAAGGAUGUGGGGUUUCGAAGACAACUAGGAUGUUGGCUCAGAAGCAGCCAUUCAUUCAAAGAGUGCGUAAUAGCUCACUAGUCGAGAGGUCCUGCGCCGAAAAUGUCCGGGGCUGAAACAUAACACCGAAGCAAUGGAACAUACCGUAAGGUAUGUUGGUAGGGGAGCAUUGAUAACACGAAGAAGCGGUACCGUAAGGAGUCGUGGAGAGUUAUCAAGAGAGAAUGCCGGAAUGAGUAGCGAGAUGAAGGUGAGAAUCCUUCAGGCCGUAUAUCCAAGGUUUCCAGGGUAAAGCUGAUCUUCCCUGGGGAAGUCGGGACCUAAGCUCAGGCUGAGAAGCGUAGGCGAUGGACAACUGGUUGAUAUUCCAGUACCUCUGGCUAUCAGAAAUGUGGGGACACGGAGAUUCAGGAAGUGCCUGUAAAGGAUUCAGGUGCAAGCAUGGUUUAUGCCGGGCAGGCAAAUCCGCCCGGGAAAUUGAACUGUGUGAUGCGGACCGAAAUAUAAGUAGGGAAGCUUCUGGGAGAGCCGUCGAGAAAAGCCGCUAUUGUGUAGUCAGAGCCCGUACCGUAAACCGACACAGGUGGAUGGGGAGAGUAUCCCAAGGCCGGCGGGAGAAGCAUUGUUAAGGAACUCGGCAAAAUGGCCCCGUAAGUUCGCGAUAAGGGGUGCCUGUAGAGAUACAGGCCGCAGAGAAUAGGCUCAAGCAACUGUUUAGCAAAAACACAGGUCUAUGCGAAACCGUAAGGUGAUGUAUAUGGGCUGACGCCUGCCCGGUGCUGGAAGGUUACGGGGAGUGCUUAGGAGUAAUCCGAAGGUACGAACUUAAGCCCCAGUAAACGGCGGCCGUAACUAUAACGGUCCUAAGGUAGCGAAAUUCCUUGUCGGGU
RNAcentral lists this ribosomal RNA (1466 nucleotides) under human metagenome. RNAcentral describes it as "bacterial LSU rRNA". It matches the Rfam family "Bacterial large subunit ribosomal RNA", at positions 491 to 1977 of the family's 2925-position model. The record is from RNAcentral.